GGGCAAGCGUUGUUCGGAAUUACUGGGCGUAAAGGGCUCGUAGGUGGCCAACUAAGUCAGACGUGAAAUCCCUCGGCUUAACCGGGGAACUGCGUCUGAUACUGGAUGGCUUGAGUUCGGGAGAGGGAUGCGGAAUUCCAGGUGUAGCGGUGAAAUGCGUAGAUAUCUGGAGGAACACCGGUGGCGAAGGCGGCAUCCUGGACCGACACUGACACUGAGGAGCGAAAGCCAGGGGAGCAAACGGG
This 245-nucleotide ribosomal RNA is filed under the name uncultured bacterium. RNAcentral's name for it is "partial 16S ribosomal RNA". It matches the Rfam family "Bacterial small subunit ribosomal RNA", at positions 532 to 776 of the family's 1533-position model. The record is from RNAcentral.